GACCAGACUCCUACGGGAGGCAGCAGUGGGGAAUAUUGGGCAAUGGGCGCAAGCCUGACCCAGCAACGCCGCGUGAAGGAAGAAGGCUUUCGGGUUGUAAACUUCUUUUGUCAGGGACGAAGCAAGUGACGGUACCUGACGAAUAAGCCACGGCUAACUACGUGCCAGCAGCCGCGGUAAUACGUUGGUGGCAAGCGUUAUCCGGAUUUACUGGGUGUAAAGGGCGAGUAGGCGGGAUUGCAAGUCAGAUGUGAAAACUAUGGGCUCAACCGAUAGAGUGCAUUUGAAACUGCAGUUCUUGAGUGAUGGAGAGGCAGGCGGAAUUCCCGGUGUAGCGGUGGAAUGCGUAGAUAUCGGGAGGAACACCAGUGGCGAAGGCGGCCUGCUGGACGAUGACUGACGUUGAGGCUCGAAAGCGUGGGGAGCAAACAGGAUUAGAUACCCGGGUAC
RNAcentral lists this ribosomal RNA (450 nucleotides) under uncultured bacterium. RNAcentral's name for it is "partial 16S ribosomal RNA". It matches the Rfam family "Bacterial small subunit ribosomal RNA", at positions 329 to 793 of the family's 1533-position model. The record is from RNAcentral.